GAGGACCAUCUCCCAAGGCUAAAUACUCCCUAGUGACCGAUAGUGAACCAGUACCGUGAGGGAAAGGUGAAAAGUACCCCGGAAGGGGAGUGAAAGAGAUCCUGAAACCGUGUGCCUACAACUAGUCAGAGCCCGUUAACGGGUGAUGGCGUGCCUUUUGUAGAAUGAACCGGCGAGUUACGGUAUCGUGCAAGGUUAAGCUGAUGAAGCGGAGCCGCAGCGAAAGCGAGUCUGAAUAGGGCGCUUUAGUACGAUGCCGUAGACCCGAAACCUGGUGAUCUA
RNAcentral lists this ribosomal RNA (282 nucleotides) under Shouchella clausii. Its description in RNAcentral is "Bacillus clausii partial 23S ribosomal RNA". It matches the Rfam family "Bacterial large subunit ribosomal RNA", at positions 448 to 732 of the family's 2925-position model. The record is from RNAcentral. Lineage: Bacteria; Bacillati; Bacillota; Bacilli; Caryophanales; Bacillaceae.